CAUGUCUUUAAACUUUUAAGAUGAUCCCUAGCAGGAUUAAAGUCCUCCACGAGCAGGCAGAGAUGAGCUAUUCAGAAAAACAAGGUCAUGCUGCAUUUUUUUUUUUUUUUUGUAAGCACAGGAAUCAACAAAGAGAUGUUAUAUAACUUCUAUUUAUAUCCUACUUGCUCACUAGCUGCAGGCAUACAAGAGUAGCUGAGGAGGGAAUUUAAUGAGCUCUCAGGGCUUGCUCACCUUCCAGAGCUGGUAGGAGCCAGCUUGUUUUUGAAGUGCGUCAGCAAAUGAAACUGGUGGUGGGUGGGUGGUUUGGGUAGGUGGACUGACUUGUUGCUAUGGUUUUUCUUUAAUUCCCCUGUCUCUCAA
Molecule: small RNA, 363 nt
Filed under: Crocodylus porosus (Australian saltwater crocodile)
Lineage: Eukaryota; Metazoa; Chordata; Crocodylia; Crocodylidae
Description: sRNA (ENSCPRG00005015395.1)
Source: RNAcentral